AUUGACAAGUGGAAGGGCCGCGAUUGCCGACCUGUGAGCUCCCAAAUCGCUGGUUUCGUGUAGACGUUUCAGAGAUGCAUCGUGGAUUACAUCAAGAGAAGCCGGCAGUUAGGUGAAUGUCCAUCAGUGACUUCCAGUUUCUAACAAGUUUGUUUGGAAGAGAGAAAUGUCUUGUUUGCCUAAGGCGAAGAUCUCUAAGAGACGUCCAAGUUUUUUGCAACCUGGUGCGCUGAAUGUUAAAAGGCGAAAGCAUAGUAGAGUUAUAAGUGAAUACGAGUGAGCAAGAGAGGAGAGAUACUGGCAGGCCCAGGGUAUGGAAGACUUGAUCUUAAACCGAAAAUGCCUUAUAAAAGGGAAAGGACAGUCCCCAAUACACACCUGAAUUCAAAUCCAAAUAAAAAAUGGCCGAUUGUAACGGAUCAGGAAGCAGGAAAAAGAAUUGCUCACGAUUUUAUUUUAUAGCGUUCAUUAUUGUGGCAAAAAUUAAACAUAUUUAGACACUUGAGGUACCAACACCUAAAAUAAGGUAAACAAAAGAUGACUAACUUCUGACAAGGUUCUUUGAUAGAUCGGUUUCGUGAUCGGUUUCAUGUUUGACCAAGCUUGGUACACAAUCAGGAAAAAAAGAUGACAAGUCAAGUUAAAAACUAAAAGGCCAAAAUAUGAUGUCAAGGUAAAAGAUAAAAUAUAAAAUGUUAUUAAAAAGGUGACAGGUCAGGAUAAAAGGUCAAAGUGUGUUAUAAAGAUGACAAGUUAGGAUGAAAGGUCAAAGUAUGUUAUAAAGGUGACAAGUCAGGAUGAAAGGUCAAAGUAUGUUAUAAAGGUGACAAGUCAGGAUAAAAGGUCAAAGUAAGUUAUAAAGGUGACAAGUUAGGAUAAAGGUCAAAGUAUGUUAUAAAAGUGAAAAUUUAGGAUGAAAGGUCAAAGUAUGUUUUAAAGGUAACAAGUUAGGAUGAAAGGUCAAAGUAUGUAAUAAAGGUGACAAGUUAG
Nematostella vectensis (starlet sea anemone) is the source of this 990-nucleotide long non-coding RNA. RefSeq lists it as uncharacterized. NCBI's taxonomy places the organism in Eukaryota, Metazoa, Cnidaria, Anthozoa, Actiniaria, Edwardsiidae. The transcript has 2 exons. The record is from RefSeq and is a predicted model, not a curated record.